This 69-nucleotide transfer RNA is filed under the name Pericoma sp. ZHK-2021. Its description in RNAcentral is "tRNA-Ser". Lineage: Eukaryota; Metazoa; Arthropoda; Insecta; Diptera; Psychodidae. The record is from RNAcentral.
AGAAAAAUGAAAUCCAAGGAAAAGCUGCUAACUUUUUUCUUUAAUGGUGAAAUUCCAUUUAUUUUUCUU